Long non-coding RNA from Limulus polyphemus (Atlantic horseshoe crab), 608 nucleotides. RefSeq lists it as uncharacterized. NCBI's taxonomy places the organism in Eukaryota, Metazoa, Arthropoda, Merostomata, Xiphosura, Limulidae. The transcript is spliced from 4 exons. The record is from RefSeq and is a predicted model, not a curated record.
UGUGAUUGCUAUAUUAUUAUUAUUUUAGAAGUUUCUGGAAAGUUGCAUGAAGUCUUGUUGUCCAGCACAGAAACAUCCACUCUGCUUCGCGAUCUCCAGCCAGGAAGCGAAUAUACUGUUCGACUUCUUGCAGAGAACGAAGUAGGCAGAGGUGAUCCAUCUGAUCCGGUGAUAUUUGAAACUAAAGAAGAAGAACCAGAAGCACCCCCUGUUGAUAUAGAGGUUGAACCCGUGGAUUCCCAUACAUUACAGAUUUCGUGGAAGCCACCACCAGCUGAUACCUGGAAUGGUCAAUUAAAGGGAUACCAUGUAGGCUACAAGGUUGAGGGGUCAGCAUCACAGUUAUCUUAUGAGACAGUCAUUAAAACUAACCUGCGUGAAGAGAAGACGCUUCUUCGUAACUUGCUUCCAUCUACAAGAUACUCCGUAUCUGUCAAUGCUUUUAACAAUGCAGGAGAUGGUCCACCCUCAGAAGAACUUGUUACUGGUACUCUAAAUGGAGAUCCCCCCUCAACCCCCUGAAGUGAAGGUGAAAAACGUUUCUCAGACAUCAGUCACUGUUAUGUGGUCACCUCGUAUUGAUGCAGAGGGAUCUGUGAGGCGUAAGU